GACGAACGCUGGCGGCGUGCUUAACACAUGCAAGUCGAACGGAAAGGCCCUGCUUUUGUGGGGUUCUCGAGUGGCGAACGGGUGAGUAACACGUGAGUAACCUGCCCUUGACUUUGGGAUAACUUCAGGAAACUGGGGCUAAUACCGGAUAGGAUCUCCUGCUGCAUGGUGGGGGUUGGAAAGUUUCGGCGGUUGGGAUGGACUCGAGGCUUAUCAGCUUGUUUGUGGUGUAGUGGCUUACCAAGGCUUUGACGGGUAGCCGUCCUGAGAGGGUGACCGGCGACAUUGGGACUGAGAUACGGCGCAGAAUCCUACGGGAGGCAGCAGGGGGGAAUAUUGCACAGUGGGGGGAAGCCUGACACAGAAGCGCCGCGUGCGGAAUGACGGCCUUCGGGUUGUAAACAGAUUUGGAAGGUGACGAAGAGGGAGUGACGGUAAUGGGUAAAGAAGCACCGGCUAACUACGUG
This 467-nucleotide ribosomal RNA is filed under the name uncultured bacterium. RNAcentral's name for it is "partial 16S ribosomal RNA". It matches the Rfam family "Bacterial small subunit ribosomal RNA", at positions 28 to 507 of the family's 1533-position model. The record is from RNAcentral.